This 253-nucleotide unclassified non-coding RNA is filed under the name uncultured Flavobacteriaceae bacterium. Its description in RNAcentral is "contains 16S-23S intergenic spacer region". It matches the Rfam family "Bacterial small subunit ribosomal RNA", at positions 524 to 776 of the family's 1533-position model. Lineage: Bacteria; Pseudomonadati; Bacteroidota; Flavobacteriia; Flavobacteriales; Flavobacteriaceae. The record is from RNAcentral.
UACGGAGGGUGCAAGCGUUGUCCGGAUUUAUUGGGUUUAAAGGGUGCGUAGGCGGCCUGUUAAGUCAGCGGUGAAAGUUUUCGGCUCAACCGGAAAAUUGCCAUUGAUACUGUUGACCUUGAGUAAUUAUGAAGUGGUUAGAAUAUGUAGUGUAGCGGUGAAAUGCAUAGAUAUUACAUAGAAUACCGAUUGCGAAGGCAGAUCACUAAUAAUUCACUGACACUGAGGUGCGAAAGCGUGGGUAGCAAACAGG